RNAcentral lists this long non-coding RNA (2450 nucleotides) under Canis lupus familiaris (dog). RNAcentral describes it as "lncRNA (ENSCAFG00845027288.1)". The record is from RNAcentral. Lineage: Eukaryota; Metazoa; Chordata; Mammalia; Carnivora; Canidae.
UUUUGCUUUUAAUAUUAUUUUUAAUAUUUUUAAAGAAAAAAGCAAAAUCAAAUCUGUCACAUAUUAGCACAUAUACAAAGGGUUUGCAUGUAUUAAAUUAUUCAGUAUAAUUAGAACAACUUAAAAAUACUUUAUUUACUAGCUACAAACUUUAUAUUCAUCUAUUUCUUAUAUACACAGAAUUUUUGCCAAGCUAUUUUACAACAUGCAAUCACUGACCUGUACAGAGCUAUUGUACUUUAUUCAUUUUUUAAUUUUUUAAAUGUUUUUUUGUACUUUAUUCUUUAUUCUUGCUUAGUCCUGAGGGAAAUUAUUACAACAUUAUUCUAAAUGGCAGGUGUUAUGCUUCAUUUCCUUAACUUUUGGAAUGCUAUUAGCAACAAAUGAGAUCUCAAUUUGUUACUAUUAAAAGUGUGAGAAAUUGUAACUCUCUGAUGACUUUGCAUUUGUUGGACUAAUUUACCAGACAAUAAUCAGAAGUUUUCUGAUGAAAUUCUGCAUUAACAAAAUUCAAGCUCAAAUCUCAGCUGGCUAGCAUUGAUUUUUCACAUUUAGUUUGUGCUUCUGAGGUUUGAUACUAAGCUUCUUGGCAUUGUUCUGUGUGCUUUGUAAGUAUGGAGGUCACUUUGAAGUUGAUCAGAUCUUGGCAGGAUCUGGAAAAGAAUACAAAUUUGACUGUAGGUCAGAAUGUCACCAUCAUGAAGUUGGGAGAUGGAAUAAUGCAGCAGUAUACUGAACUUGCUAAAAAAAUAAAGAUGUUAGAUAAGAUUCUACAAUAAUCAUGUUUGCGUGAAUUUUUUCCUAUGCAAGUAAUUUCAAAAACACUUUUCCAGAUUCAAAAUAAUGAAAAUACAACAUUCAUUAUUUAUUUACUUUUGUCUUUUAAAAAAAUAUUUAAAAUGAUACAAGUAUUUCUGAUUCUCUCUUUUAUCUCAAAAUAUUUUGUAUUUUUCUGUUGCUGAUCUAAAUCCAAAAUAUCCUACAGUGUUUUAACCAACUGCCUCAUAUUUCUAGCCUGCUUUUACCUUCAAAUAAUGAAAAACAUUUGCAGUGAACUUUAGCAUCAGAGAGUAGGGUGAGUUUUGGAGGUAAAUUAUCCCAAACACUAACAAAUAUGAAAAUAUCAGCAUAGCUUUAUUUAAAGUGACCUCUAUUAAAAAUGAUUUCAUGUGUAUUAUUCUCAGUGUCAAAAUUCAGACAAAAGGGCUAAAGUAUUCUCUCUUUCACAUUGUUCUUGUUUUAUUAUUAUUUUUUAAACUUUUGACCUUAAAAAUUCUGCUUAGUAAGUUUUCAUUUAGGAGUCGUAAGUACUGAGUUAAUGAUGCCAGUUUUCCCAGUACCAUCUGGACCUACAGAAUUUCUGUCCCAGUUGAAGGAUGAUAUUUGGUAAGCACAGCAACAAGAAAUCUACUGAAAAACCAAAAGACAAAAAACAAAAGAAAUCAAACAAAGCAGCAGAUUGAAGCAGUAUUUUUCCUUAGAUGUCCUAGCAAAUUAUGCUAAAUUUUCCUACUGUGCAAAGACCAGGAGUUAGGUUUUUCAAACUGUAUUUGGUGGUGGCUGACUAUGGUGAAUCUGAGGGCUGUACUUCACAUUCACAUUUUGCAGCUGAGUAUGGUCCAGUGUAUCGAGAAAUUUAUUUUUUUUAAAGAUUUUAUUUAUUUAUUCAUGAGAGACACACAGAAAGAGGCGAACAGAGGCAGAGGUUAGAAACAGGCUCCAUGCAGGGAGCCCGAUGUGGGACUUGGUCCUGGGACUGCGGGAUCCUGCCAUGAGUUGAAGGCAGAUGCUCAACCACUGAGCCACCCAGGCAUCUCUCAGGAAGGUUAAUUAAUGCUAGUCUCACAAUCAUUUGUAAAUUUAAGAAGACAAUGUUUGCUUUAAAAUGUUAGACUUUUUCUUGACACUUUCACAUUGUAUGAUAAACAUUUACAUGUUUUGGAAUAGAACAUUUAAAAAUUAAAUUCAACAAUUAAAUACUAAAUAAUGAUAACUUUGCUUAUCCAAAGCAUGCACACAAGCUUCAUAGAUUUUGUUAAUCUUUUUGUGGCACCUCUGUAGUAACCACUUACUAUUUUGGCAUUCCAUUUUGAAUUUAAUUCUUUGAAGCUGUUGGGAUCUCUGGGUGGCUCAGCAGUUUAGAGCCUGCCUUCAGCCCAGGGUGUGAUCCUGGAGACCCGGGAUCGAGUCCCAUGUCAGGCUCCCUGCAUGGAGCCUGCUUCUCCCUCUGCCUGUGUCUCUGCCUCUCUCUCUCUCUCUCUCUCUCUCUCUGAAUCUCUCAUGAAUAAAUAAACUCUUAAAAAAUAAUUCUUUGAAGCUGUUACAUAUGUUAGAAAGAUUGUAUUUGCACACUCCUAUGUGUAUACACAUAUACACAUGUGUCCAUUUAUUGGUACAAUCAGAAGAAGAUGGAGUUCUUCAGACCUUUAACACUUUGUAACAAUCAGAUA